CAGAAGACUCUCCAUG
RNAcentral lists this small RNA (16 nucleotides) under Arabidopsis thaliana (thale cress). RNAcentral's name for it is "ATSL243270". Lineage: Eukaryota; Viridiplantae; Streptophyta; Magnoliopsida; Brassicales; Brassicaceae. The record is from RNAcentral.